Molecule: ribosomal RNA, 624 nt
Filed under: uncultured archaeon
Lineage: Archaea
Description: bacterial SSU rRNA
Rfam family: Archaeal small subunit ribosomal RNA
Source: RNAcentral
GCGCGAAAACUUCACACUGCAGGAAACUGUGAUGAGGGAACUCCAAGUGGAUGGUAUUGGAAUAAGGGCUGGGAAAGACCGGUGCCAGCCGCCGCGGUAAUACCGGCAGCUCGAGUGGUCGUCGCUUUUAUUGGGCCUAAAACGUCCGUAGCCGGUUUGGUAAAUCUGUGGGUAAAUCAACUAGCUUAACUAGUUGAAUUCUGCAGAGACUGCCAGACUAGGAACCGGGAGAGGUGUGGGGUACUCAAGGGGUAGGGGUAAAAUCCUGUCAUCCUUUGAGGACCACCAGUUGCGAAGGCGCCACACUGGAACGGAUUCGACGGUCAGGGACGAAGCCUAGGGGCACGAACCGGAUUAGACACCCGGGUAGUCCUAGGUGUAAACGCUGUGAACUUGGUGUCGGGAGUCCGCAAUGGGCCCCCGGUGCCGGAGUGAAGAUGUUAAGUUCACUGCCUGGGGAGUACGGUCGCAAGGCUGAAACUUAAAGGAAUUGGCGGGGGAGCACGCAACGCGAGGAGCGUGCGGUUUAAUUGGAUUCAACGCCGGAAAACUCACCAUGGCCGACUGUUAGAUGAAGACCAGCGUAAUGAGCUUGUCGGAUUUUCAGAGAGGAAGUGCAUGGCC